AUUGAACGCUGGCGGCAUGCCUUACACAUGCAAGUCGGACGGCAGCACGGGUGCUUGCACCUGGUGGCGAGUGGCGAACGGGUGAGUAAUACAUCGGAACAUGUCCUGUAGUGGGGGAUAGCCCGGCGAAAGCCGGAUUAAUACCGCAUACGAUCUACGGAUGAAAGCGGGGGACCUUCGGGCCUCGCGCUAUAGGGUUGGCCGAUGGCUGAUUAGCUAGUUGGUGGGGUAAAGGCCUACCAAGGCGACGAUCAGUAGCUGGUCUGAGAGGACGACCAGCCACACUGGGACUGAGACACGGCCCAGACUCCUACGGGAGGCAGCAGUGGGGAAUUUUGGACAAUGGGCGAAAGCCUGAUCCAGCAAUGCCGCGUGUGUGAAGAAGGCCUUCGGGUUGUAAAGCACUUUUGUCCGGAAAGAAAUCCUUGGCCCUAAUACGGUCGGGGGAUGACGGUACCGGAAGAAUAAGCACCGGCUAACUACGCG
Molecule: ribosomal RNA, 486 nt
Filed under: uncultured bacterium
Lineage: Bacteria
Description: partial 16S ribosomal RNA
Rfam family: Bacterial small subunit ribosomal RNA
Source: RNAcentral